CCUACGGGUGGCAGCAGUGGGGAAUAUUGCACAAUGGGGGAAACCCUGAUGCAGCGACGCCGCGUGAGUGAAGAAGUAUCUCGGUAUGUAAAGCUCUAUCAGCAGGGAAGAAAUAGCGACCUUUGGGUCGCCAGACGGUACCUGCUUAAGAAGCCCCGGCUAACUACGUGCCAGCAGCCGCGGUAAUACGUAGGGGGCAAGCGCUAUCCGGAUUUAUUGGGUGUAAAGGGAGGGUAGACGGCAGCUUAAGUCUGAAGUGAAAUGCCGGGGCUUAACCCCGGAACUGCCUUGGAAACUGGGCAGCUAGAGUGCAGGAGAGGUAAGUGGAAUUCGUGGUGUAGCGGUGAAAUGCGUAGAUAUUAGGAGGAACACCAGUGGCGAAGGCGGCUUACUGGACUGUAACUGACGUUGAGGCUCGAAAGCGUGGGGAGCGAACAGGAUUAGAUACCCUAGUAGUC
RNAcentral lists this ribosomal RNA (458 nucleotides) under uncultured bacterium. RNAcentral describes it as "partial 16S ribosomal RNA". It matches the Rfam family "Bacterial small subunit ribosomal RNA", at positions 338 to 795 of the family's 1533-position model. The record is from RNAcentral.